CAAAGGCAUGGUCCCGACCUUAUUAUCAGCUCUAACUCAACUUACACAUGCAAGUCUCCGCAACCCAGUGAAUAUGCCCUCAAUCCCCCCACCCGGGGACGAGGAGCGGGCAUCAGGCACAAACAUUAGCCCAAGACGCCUAGCCAAGCCACACCCCCAAGGGAAUUCAGCAGUGAUAAACAUUAAGCCAUAAGUGAAAACUUGACUCAGUUAGUGUUAAGAGGGCCGGUAAAACUCGUGCCAGCCACCGCGGUUAGACGAGAGGCCCUAGUUGAUAUUACAACGGCGUAAAGGGUGGUUAAGGAUAAACAAAAAUAAAGUCAAAUGGCCCCUUGGCCGUCAUACGCUUCUAGGAGUCCGAAGCCCUAAUACGAAAGUAACUUUAAUAAACCCACC
RNAcentral lists this ribosomal RNA (396 nucleotides) under Cyprinus carpio (common carp). RNAcentral describes it as "partial 12S ribosomal RNA". The record is from RNAcentral. Lineage: Eukaryota; Metazoa; Chordata; Actinopteri; Cypriniformes; Cyprinidae.